CCUACGAGUGGCAGCAGUGAGGAAUAUUGGUCAAUGGACGAGAGUCUGAACCAGCCAAGUAGCGUGAAGGAUGACUGCCCUAUGGGUUGUAAACUUCUUUUAUAUGGGCAUCAAAUGUUCCACGUGUGGGAUUUUGUCUGUACCAUAUGAAUAAGGAUCGGCUAACUCCGUGCCAUCAGCCGCGGUAAUACGGAGGAUCCGAGCGUUAUCCGGAUUUAUUGGGUUUAAAGGGAGCGUAUGUGGAUUGUUGAGUCAGUUGUUAAAGUUUGCGGGUAAAUCGUAAAAUUGCAGUUGAAACUGGCAGUCUUGAGUACAGUAGAGGUGGGCGGAAUUCGUAGUGUAGCGGUGAAAUGCUUAGAUAUCACGAAGAACUCCGAUUGCGAAGGCAGCUCACUGGACUGCAACUGACACUGAGGCUCGAAAGUGUGGGUAUCAAACAGGAUUAGAUACCCGGGUAGUC
RNAcentral lists this ribosomal RNA (460 nucleotides) under uncultured bacterium. RNAcentral describes it as "partial 16S ribosomal RNA". It matches the Rfam family "Bacterial small subunit ribosomal RNA", at positions 338 to 795 of the family's 1533-position model. The record is from RNAcentral.